GAUGAACGCUGGCGGCGUGCUUAACACAUGCAAGUCGAACGAGAAAUGUAGACGGAAACCUUCGGGCGGAAGCCUUCAUUUCGAGUGGCGGACGGGUGAGUAACGCGUGGGUAACCUGCUUCAUACAGGGGGCUAACGGUUGGAAACGAUUGUUAAUCCCGCUUAAGACCACAGCAUCGCAUGUUUCGGGGGUAAAAACUCCGGUGGUAUGAGAUGGACCCGCGUUCGAUUAGCCAGUUGGCGGGGUAAGGGCCAACCAAAGCGACGAUCGAUAGCCGAUCUGAGAGGAUGACCGGCCACAUUGGGACUGAGACACGGCCCAAACUCCUACGGGAGGCAGCAGUGGGGAAUAUUGCACAAUGGGGGAAACCCUGAUGCAGCGACGCCGCGUGAGUGAAGAAGUACUUCGGUAUGUAAAGCUCUAUCAGCAGGGAAGAAAAUGACGGUACCUGAGUAAGAAGCCCCGGCUAACUACGUG
Molecule: ribosomal RNA, 478 nt
Filed under: uncultured bacterium
Lineage: Bacteria
Description: partial 16S ribosomal RNA
Rfam family: Bacterial small subunit ribosomal RNA
Source: RNAcentral